UGGAGGCGUUGUCCCCCUUGUCCGGAGGGGAUGGCAGGGGUGGUGUGUCGCCUCCGUCCGCGCCGCUGCUGUUGCUCCGGUUGCCCGCAGGCUCCCAGGGGGCAGCGGAGAAGGGGGUGCUGGGGAGGCUGGUCCAGUCGCCCGUGCCCGCCCCCCGGCCUGUGGUGGUGACCCCCGCCAGCUCGGUGCCUUUGCCGGCCCCGCGGCACCAGAAGUUGGGCUGGUCCAGGAGGAACGAGUCCGAGAACUGGCUGAAGCCGAUGAACAGCGCCGGGAUCCAGCAUGGAAACAGCCUCUUCUGUUUGAUGAGAAUCAUCCCAAAGUUGGCAUAUGAACCUUGAGUUUCAAGUAUGGAUGCUGAGCUCUUGACAAUGGGUUAAAGAUGCCAAUAUCAGCAAAAUUAUGAGCUAUGGCCUAGGCUCUGGUGUAAGAGGCCAGCAAGGCCAGGUGGUCCUCCAGCCCUGAGACACACGUACCCUACACAUCUGCGAAGGAGGGAUCAUUGCACCAUUCUGGAGAUGAGGCCUCUGAGCCCAAGCUAAGUCAUCAUAUCCCCUGUGACCUGCAUGUAUACAUCCAGAAGGCCUGAAGCAACUGAAGAACCACAAAAGAUGACAUUCCACCAUUGUGAUCUGUUCCUACCCACCCAUAACUGACCUUAUGGCAAUACAUCCUCCCCGCCCUUUCGAUAAUGUACUUUGUGAUAUUCCCCCGCCCUUAAGAAGGUACUUUCUAAUAUUCUCCCCACCCUUGAGAAUGUACUUUGUGAGAUCCACCCC
This is a long non-coding RNA of Piliocolobus tephrosceles (Ugandan red Colobus), 779 nucleotides long. RefSeq lists it as uncharacterized. NCBI's taxonomy places the organism in Eukaryota, Metazoa, Chordata, Mammalia, Primates, Cercopithecidae. The transcript is spliced from 4 exons. The record is from RefSeq and is a predicted model, not a curated record.